RNAcentral lists this ribosomal RNA (425 nucleotides) under uncultured bacterium. Its description in RNAcentral is "partial 16S ribosomal RNA". It matches the Rfam family "Bacterial small subunit ribosomal RNA", at positions 354 to 796 of the family's 1533-position model. The record is from RNAcentral.
GUGGGGAAUCUUGCGCAAUGGGCGAAAGCCUGACGCAGCCAUGCCGCGUGAAUGAUGAAGGUCUUAGGAUUGUAAAAUUCUUUCACCGGGGACGAUAAUGACGGUACCCGGAGAAGAAGCUCCGGCUAACUUCGUGCCAGCAGCCGCGGUAAUACGAAGGGGGCUAGCGUUGCUCGGAAUUACUGGGCGUAAAGGGCGCGUAGGCGGACAGCUUAGUCAGAGGUGAAAGCCCAGGGCUCAACCUUGGAAUUACCUUUGAUACUGGCUGUCUUGAGUUUGGGAGAGGUGAGUGGAACUCCGAGUGUAGAGGUGAAAUUCGUAGAUAUUCGGAAGAACACCAGUGGCGAAGGCGACUCACUGGCCCAAUACUGACGCUGAGGCGCGAAAGCGUGGGGAGCAAACAGGAUUAGAUACCCUGGUAGUCC